AACGAACGCUGGCGGCAGGCCUAACACAUGCAAGUCGAACGCUCUAGCAAUAGAGAGUGGCAGACGGGUGAGUAACGCGUGGGAACCUUCCCUAUGGUGUGGAAUAACUCGCCGAAAGGCGAGCUAAUACCGCAUAAGCCCGCAAGGGGAAAGAUUUAUCGCCAUAGGAUGGGCCCGCGUAGGAUUAGCUAGUUGGUGAGGUAAUGGCUCACCAAGGCGACGAUCCUUAGCUGGUUUGAGAGAAUGACCAGCCACACUGGGACUGAGACACGGCCCAGACUCCUACGGGAGGCAGCAGUGGGGAAUCUUGGACAAUGGGCGCAAGCCUGAUCCAGCCAUGCCGCGUGAGUGACGAAGGCCUUAGGGUUGUAAAGCUCUUUUGGCGGGGACGAUAAUGACGGUACCCGCAGAAUAAGCCCCGGCUAACUUCGUGCCAGCAGCCGCUGUAAU
Molecule: ribosomal RNA, 450 nt
Filed under: uncultured bacterium
Lineage: Bacteria
Description: bacterial SSU rRNA
Rfam family: Bacterial small subunit ribosomal RNA
Source: RNAcentral